This 781-nucleotide long non-coding RNA is filed under the name Gallus gallus (chicken). RNAcentral's name for it is "lncRNA (ENSGALG00010017298.1)". Lineage: Eukaryota; Metazoa; Chordata; Aves; Galliformes; Phasianidae. The record is from RNAcentral.
AAGACAUUGUAUCUGAGCCUUUCUGGAGACUAUUCAAAGCAAAUCAUUUUCAUUUUACCAUUUGGAGGUGCUUUUCCUGUUAGUGAUCCCUAUAUAGCACCGGAUUUGUGCAGCAGCCCACAGACUGCGUCCCAAGCAGAGCAGAACCUAGGAAAGAGUAAGAAGCCAUGAUGAAGUGCCAACUAGAAGGAGACCUUCCACCAAACUUCGCUCCAAUCUGUUUUGUUAUGACAAGAACAAGUGGUUUUAACAAGUAUGCCAUAAAUCAGGGGCGCGCGCUCCAGCCCGGAGCCUUCCAGGUACAAACUCACAUUCCUUUUCUUCUGGUGGGGUUUUUUAUUUUCCAAGACAGAAAAAAACCCCUGGAAUUUGGAUGCUGCCAUCUGCAAAUAGGUAGCGGGGGGCUGAUCCUCGAGGUCGGUAUUAAUAGUUCUGUUCAAGAAAACUCACAGCAGAAUUCAGACGAUGCUCUCUGAAUCUCAUCUGAGUGAAGGCUCAGGGCACAUGACAUCUGGCUUUGCUCUGUAGGACAAAAUCCUUCUUUUCUGCAGUGACCAUGCCCCUCUAGCCAUGACUUUUUGGGCUGCUGUAGGUAGAAAGCACAGGCUGGGAAAGGCACAGCUGUUUUGUCCAGAGAGCUCCUGCUGCACCCUCUAACAGUCUAACAGUUGUCCAGAAGUGCCUUGGGGAGAAAGGAACAUUGGCACCACUGGAGUGGAUGAUGGUAACAAAGGCGGAAUUUCACCUACAAAUCAAAACUUUGGAAAUGUUUGGUUCUAGG